Molecule: non-coding RNA, 30 nt
Filed under: Homo sapiens (human)
Lineage: Eukaryota; Metazoa; Chordata; Mammalia; Primates; Hominidae
Source: RNAcentral
UACAGACGUCGCUGGAUGGUGUGUCCAACC